Pelobates cultripes (western spadefoot toad) is the source of this 316-nucleotide non-coding RNA. NCBI's taxonomy places the organism in Eukaryota, Metazoa, Chordata, Amphibia, Anura, Pelobatidae. The record is from the annotation of a GenBank genome assembly.
UAAGGUAUUACUAUAGACCUGGCAUUGGUGCCCUAAUCAUGGAUGCCCUUAUACACUAAUUAGGUAACAGCCCUGGCAAUACAGAGCUAAGAAUGCCAAUCACUGAGUGCCUCUCAGCAGAUGUCAAUCAAACAACGGGUUAACCUGCUGGCCCCGCCCACUGCUCCAGGUGUUACAGGAAGUAUAUUGUGCAUCACGCUCUGUCUUCCGGUGGGAAACAAUGCCAUCAUAAACACGCAUCCCGAGAUAGGACUACAUUGCUCGGACCGGGCUGGCAGUGUGGGGUCGGCAGGCGGUAAGUGGACACAGGAAACCU